Molecule: microRNA precursor, 61 nt
Filed under: Xenoturbella bocki
Lineage: Eukaryota; Metazoa; Xenacoelomorpha; Xenoturbellidae
Description: Xbo-Mir-219_pre stem-loop
Source: RNAcentral
UGAUUGUCCAAACGCAAUUCUUUCUGGUUAUAAAUGAAGAGAACUGUGUAUGGACGUCAGU